CGAUCAAGAAGAUGUUCAAACAACCAAGAGAUAAGUUAGACCAAAGACAGAAUGAGGAGCGUAACUGUUACCACUUAUUUGUGUAGAGCAGUAUGGUACCAGUGGUGCAGCCGACUCUGAAUUCCUGGCUUGUUCUAAUGAAAAAAGGCAGAUGAGGCACUGGAAUCCGAAUGAAAUCAAAAAUGCCAUUGUAUGAGGAUUGACCUGCAAUGCAUGGAAAUCAUCUAACACAACUGCAACGCCUACCUUGGGGAAAUGAGUGCAAGAUGGAAACAAAGCAUUCAGUGAAACAUCUUGUCAUCUCAAAUAUUUGAUGACUCAAUACUGAUGUGAAGUUGCAGAUAAAAGUAAUAUGUUGGCCCGUGAUUAUUAGAUACACCCAGACACAUAUUUUAAAAGGGUUAUAUGGUAAAGGAUUUAUCUACGCUUAAAGUGGUUUUCCUAUAUUAAGGAGGGAAGAUAACUACAAAAACAGA
Molecule: long non-coding RNA, 476 nt
Organism: Mya arenaria
Lineage: Eukaryota; Metazoa; Mollusca; Bivalvia; Myida; Myidae
Exons: 3
Source: RefSeq, a predicted model, not a curated record